GACCCCAGGUCAGGCGGGACCACCCGCUGAGUUUAAGCAUAUCAAUAAGCGGAGG
This 55-nucleotide ribosomal RNA is filed under the name Plukenetia stipellata. RNAcentral's name for it is "partial 26S ribosomal RNA". Lineage: Eukaryota; Viridiplantae; Streptophyta; Magnoliopsida; Malpighiales; Euphorbiaceae. The record is from RNAcentral.